CUACGGGGUGCACCAGUGAGGAAUAUUGCACAAUGGGGGGAACCCUGAUGCAGCAACGCCGCGUGGAGGAUGACGCAUUUCGGUGUGUAAACUCCUUUUAUAUGUCAAGAAAAUGACGGUAGCAUAUGAAUAAGCGCCGGCUAACUCCGUGCCAGCAGCCGCGGUAAUACGGAGGGUGCAAGCGUUACUCGGAAUCACUGGGCGUAAAGGACGCGUAGGUGGGUUGGAAAGUCAGGUGUGAAAUCCUACAGCUUAACUGUAGAACUGCACUUGAAACUUCUAAUCUAGAGUAUGGGAGGGGGAGAUGGAAUUAGUGGUGUAGGGGUAAAAUCCGUAGAUAUCACUAGGAAUACCUAAAGCGAAGGCGAUCUCCUGGAACAUUACUGACGCUAAGGCGUGAAAGCGUGGGGAGCAAACAGGAUUAGAUACCCCCGUAGUC
RNAcentral lists this ribosomal RNA (439 nucleotides) under uncultured bacterium. RNAcentral describes it as "partial 16S ribosomal RNA". It matches the Rfam family "Bacterial small subunit ribosomal RNA", at positions 339 to 795 of the family's 1533-position model. The record is from RNAcentral.